This 253-nucleotide ribosomal RNA is filed under the name uncultured bacterium. RNAcentral describes it as "partial 16S ribosomal RNA". It matches the Rfam family "Bacterial small subunit ribosomal RNA", at positions 524 to 776 of the family's 1533-position model. The record is from RNAcentral.
UACAGAGGGGGCAAGCGUUAUUCGGAAUUAUUGGGCGUAAAGGGCGCGUAGGCGGCCAUUCAAGUGACGGGUGAAAGCCCUCGGCUUAACCGAGGAACUGCCUGUCAGACUGGAUGGCUUGAGACCGGGAGAGGUGAGUGGAAUUCCCAGUGUAGCGGUGAAAUGCGUAGAUAUCGGAAGGAACAUCAGUGGCGAAAGCGACUUCCUGGACCAAUACUGACGCUCAUGUGCGAAAGCGUGGGGAGCAAACAGG